CCCCCCGCCUCCGUGCCUGCUUUCCGCCCCUCUGCCCCCGCCUCCGGCAGCGGGAGUCGCGCGCGGGCCCGCGGUCACCAUGUCCUGACUGAGGGGAGAGGGCGGAGGCGGCAGCAGCGGGGCGGGCGGCAGCGCGGAGGGAGGCGGAGAGGGGCCGGGCUCGGCUCGUCGCCGCGGGCUGCUCGGGGAGUCGCUGCCGCCGCCGCUGCAGCCGGGCGCCGAGCGUCGGACGGGGAGGAGGAGCAGGAGCUGGAGGAAGAGCCACCGCCGCCGCCAGGAAUAGCUAUUCACAGUCAUACAGAACCACUUAUCACGUUUUGCAGUAUCUCCAGAGGAAGUCAGAAUCUGAGCCACCAUGACGACUGAAUCUUGUCUUUGGUCUGAUUUAUAAGCUGUACUUUUAUUCUGACCAUGUGCAAGGUGGAGGCUAUAGCAUGGAAACUAAAAUCUUACUUCCUGCCUGACAUAACUCACUUCAAGAAGUGCACAAUGUCAGAACGUGGAAUUAAGUGGGCUUGUGAAUACUGUACGUAUGAAAACUGGCCAUCUGCAAUCAAGUGUACUAUGUGUCGUGCCCAAAGACCUAGUGGAACAAUAAUUACAGAAGAUCCAUUUAAAAGUGGUUCAAGUGAUGUCGGUAGAGAUUGGGAUCCUUCCGGCACCGAAGGAGGAAGUAGUCCUUUGAUAUGUCCAGACUCCAGUGCAAGACCAAGGGUUAAGUCUUCGUACAGCAUGGAAAAUGCGAAUAAAUGGUCAUGCCACAUGUGCACAUAUUUGAACUGGCCACGAGCAAUCAGAUGCACUCAGUGUUUAUCCCAGCGUAGGACCAGGAGUCCCACAGAAUCUCCUCAAUCCUCAGGAUCUGGCUCAAGACCAGUUGCUUUUUCUGUUGACCCUUGCGAGGAAUACAAUGAUAGAAAUAAACUGAACACAAGGACCCAGCAUUGGACUUGUUCUAUUUGCACAUAUGAAAACUGGGCCAAAGCUAAAAAAUGUGUUGUUUGCGAUCAUCCCAGGCCUAAUAAUAUUGAAGCAAUCGAGUUGGCAGAGACGGAAGAGGCUUCUUCAAUAAUAAAUGAGCAAGACAGAGCUCGAUGGAGAGGAAGCUGUAGCAGUGGCAACAGCCAAAGAAGAUCACCGCCGACUACGAAACGGGACUCUGAGAUGAAAAUGGAUUUUCAGAGGAUUGAGUUGGCUGGUGCUGUUGGCAGCAAGGAGGAACUUGAAGUGGACUUCAAAAAACUAAAGCAAAUUAAAAACAGGAUGAAAAAGACUGAUUGGCUAUUCCUCAAUGCUUGUGUGGGGCUCCUGAAAUUGUGCCAGCUGACUCCAAGUCCACCCUGACCCCACAGCAUAAACCAUGCUGUGAUGUCACAGCUACCAUAGAACUCCAGGGUAGUGUUGAGCUGGCCCAUGUGGGCUCAGGUGUCUCAACAAGCCGCAAAGUGUAUUCCAGCAAUGGUGUGUCCUGAACUGACAGAGCAAAUCCGGCGUGAGAUAGCUGCCUCUCUUCAUCAGAGAAAGGGGGAUUUUGCUUGCUAUUUCCUAACUGACCUUGUAACAUUUACGUUGCCAGCAGAUAUUGAAGACUUGCCUCCAACAGUCCAAGAAAAAUUAUUUGAUGAGGUGCUUGAUAGAGAUGUUCAAAAAGAGUUAGAAGAAGAAUCUCCAAUUAUAAACUGGUCCUUGGAAUUGGCUACACGUUUGGACAGUCGACUGUAUGCACUUUGGAACCGGACUGCAGGAGACUGCUUACUUGAUUCAGUACUACAAGCUACCUGGGGCAUUUAUGACAAGGACUCGGUGCUUCGGAAAGCCCUGCAUGACAGCCUACAUGACUGUUCACAUUGGUUUUAUACACGUUGGAAAGAUUGGGAGUCCUGGUAUUCUCAGAGCUUUGGUUUACAUUUUUCCUUGAGAGAAGAACAGUGGCAAGAAGACUGGGCAUUUAUACUCUCUCUUGCUAGUCAGCCUGGAGCAAGUUUGGAACAGACCCACAUUUUUGUACUUGCACAUAUUCUUAGACGACCAAUUAUAGUUUAUGGAGUAAAAUAUUAUAAAAGUUUCCGGGGAGAAACUUUGGGAUAUACUCGGUUUCAAGGUGUGUAUUUGCCUUUGUUGUGGGAACAGAGUUUUUGUUGGAAAAGUCCGAUUGCUCUGGGCUAUACAAGGGGCCACUUCUCUGCUUUGGUUGCCAUGGAAAAUGAUGGCUAUGGUAACCGAGGUGCUGGUGCUAACCUGAACACCGAUGACGAUGUCACCAUUACAUUUCUGCCUCUGGUUGACAGUGAAAGGAAGUUACUCCAUGUGCACUUCCUUUCUGCUCAGGAGCUAGGUAAUGAGGAACAGCAAGAAAAGCUGCUCAGGGAGUGGCUGGACUGCUGUGUGACUGAGGGAGGAGUUCUCGUGGCCAUGCAGAAGAGCUCUCGGCGGCGAAAUCACCCUCUGGUCACGCAAAUGGUAGAAAAAUGGCUUGACCGCUACCGACAGAUCCGGCCUUGUACAUCCCUGUCUGAUGGGGAGGAAGACGAAGAUGAUGAAGAUGAAUGAAAAUAAUCAAAGAGCAGAAGAGCAAGGUACCAGCUCUGUAGUGACCUCCACGCUGCUGCGGUGCUCCAGGCAGAGUGCACGGCAUGGAAUGAAGCAGAUCUGGCAGGAUCUGCUUGGAAGGGUUUUUCUGACCCACACCCAGUGGAGACGAUGCAUCUGCUGUGAGGAGACAGAACUUUGGACUACAGUUUGUAAAAAAUGAAUUUUAUUAAGACAGAACUUUUUUCCUUUCAAGUUGUAAAUCUGUCUAUAAAUGUAACGCAUGUGGUUGUGUAAGAAGUUGUGUAAUAGGCAAAGUUGUACCAGCAUCUUCAUAUUAUUGAGAAGUUUUUUCCAGCAUGGGCACCUCCAAAAGCACGUGGCAGAUCACUCUUUGUUCCUUUGAGAUAAUUCUUUUUUAAGUAGAACCUGGCAUUCUACUUGCAUCUUAAAAGAUCCGUUUUACAUUAUAUCUCACUAGAGCUCGUUAGAGAUUUGGAAACUUUUUGUACAAAUUACCCACAGCAAAACAUAAAAACAAGCUUUUAUUUUUAUUAAUAAUUUAGUUCCUGUUGUGCCCAAUAAAAUAAAAUAAAACCUUUAAGGAACAAACUGUAAGAAAAGUAAGGAUUUUUUAUUGAGUGAACUUUGCAUAGACAUCGUUCCCUUGUUUUGGAAAGGGUUUUGGUUUCUAUUAUUUUGUCUUUUUAAAAGUUUCUGAUGUGCCCCUUUUCAGUGUUUAGGUAUUUAUUUGUUUGGAAGAGUGCCCUUAAGAUGGGGCUUCUUCUACCAGACUCUGGGCAGCAGUCUCUUUGUGAAUAGUUAUUCGGUGGAUGUAAGUGAGGGGAGUGCUGGCCCACUCGUAUGUAACUGAAUGAACUGUGUGAAGUUCGCCCACUUGACUCUUGACAAUGUUAUACUCUCCCAGGUUGCCAUGCAUAGAGUCUGUGGAUUCUUAACUGUCUUUUAUCAUCAACUCUGCUUUAAGCAAAUUGUGUUAGAAAGGCAUGCCUUUGCUUGGGCUAAUUGGGAAUAUCAGUUCAGUAUAGAAUAAAGAUUUAAGAACGCAGUAAGGCGGUAAAUGCAUUGUAUAAUGAAUUUCUCAGUGAGUAGUCUGAGAAUUUUUGCAUGUUGGUUAAUUGUGGCCAUUCUUAUUUAAAGUUAAGACUAUAAUCUUAGGUAGGAAAACUUUCUACAAAAAGUAUUAUUUGACCACUUCAGGUAUACAUUCAAAACUGGGUAAAAAUUUCAGACCUAUCUCAGGAACACAAAAAGACUUAGUGUCCUGGUAAGCACUUUGUAGACUAUUGAUGUGGCAAGGAAUUUGGCAAGAAGCCCUACACACACACACACACACACACUUUUCCUUCCCUUUGAUGAAAAGGCUGUGAAAACCUUGAAAUAUUUACUUCUUGAUUUCUUCUAAGUUCUGUUUAGAUGCUAUUGAAAUGUGCACAACCUCAGAUUUGAUGCUGGAAUACUAAAAAUAGAAAAUUACCUAUAAGAUGUCAUCUCUCUAGUUCUUUCUUCCCUCUCUGAACACUCCUUGAAACGUGUUCCCAGGAUGAUCGCUUUUGCUGCAUGCUACAACUUGCAGGAAAAAUAUUUGCAAUUUGAUUCCAUAUGAAUGAAUUUUGAUGUAAUGUGUAUGUUACUGUUUCAAAUGGUUGUUUUCUUACAAAUUGACUCUAUGGUUUGCUUUCAUUUUGGACAGAAUUAAUUAAGUUUUUAGAAGGCUGCCAUUCUAAUUACAUAGCACAGCAUCCCUAUAAACUUUUCUCCAUAUAUAGGGAGAGAAUUCUUUAGUGGCCAGACAUCCUGUUCUAGUUGCUGUUAAGCAAAAACUGCUCUCCCAGUUGAAGAAUCCGAAGAGAAAUGUUUGAGGGAAAAGCAUCUAGUUGCUACGGUCUACAUUACAGUCAGUGCUGUUUAGAAAACUGCAGGCUCAGUCUUUAGCCUUAGCCUCCGUGUGUUGUGUUUGCUGCGUGGUGUGUCCCCUGAGGUGCCUCUUUAUUUAUUUAUUUAUAGAUCAGUGACCCUGACCACAUCUAGUUUAACAGGUACAGCAUUCUUCCCUGUGGGAAAGAAUUAUAUAUAUAUAUAUGACUCCAUUUCUUAGGCUCCAGACAGGGAUGGGGCUUUAAAUGGUUUUCACAGCAGAUUGGCUGGUAAAGGCCAACAUUUUGGUGAAUCAAUGCUGUGUUAAGCUCUUGAACUAUCAAACAGCCAUAACUGUUGUCCCAAGAUAGAGUUUGCAGUCCUUUCUCAGAUUAUAUAUGGCAGGGUGACAGAUACUGUAUGUCUUUUGGUUGACUCCGGACAGUAAUACCUUUAACUGUAUGGACUUUAUGGUUCUUUUUCUAGGGAGAAUACAGUGUGGUGUUUUCUGUCAAAACCCAAGUACACCAUGGAUUUGGACCUUUUUAUGUUUUUGGUUUUUAGGCUCAUCGUGUCACAGACUUAGUCUGUGUUAAGGGACUAUUGCUGUGCAUAGUCGGUUGGGGUCUCCUUUUUGUGCAUACGUCACCCCCUCACUGAUUGCCUGUUUGACAAGUGGUCGUGAAGAUGAUCUUGAGCUGCCACUUUGCUCCCCGGAGUGAUAGGUCAGUAACCAUUUGCUGUAUCUCUGUCCAGGAUCUCUCUCCGUGUCGGGUGGUUUCAGUGUAAUUUCCAUGGGAGAGUUGGGGUGGGGCCCCCACCUUAAAAUGAGUGAGGAGGGUGAUGCUUUAAGCUGCCAUGACUUCUUUUAAAUGGGAAAGGGUGGGGGGAGGCGGCUGAAAAGGAGUUCGGUACCUGGAAUUGUUGGACGUGACUGACAUUUGCAGAUACCGCUAAGUAGUAAGGGGUUUAAUGCUAUUUGAGGAGGAAGACCCAUAAAAUCAACGGAAAGUUCCUAACCUGUGGAAAUGGCUGAUGUUAAUUAUUUUGCAACAUUUCUUUGUAAAUAUCAUUAAAAAAAAUUUUUUUUGAGAUUCACCUCCCUUCCUGCAUUAAUGCUUGAGCCAGAUAAUUUUGCUUUUGGGUAAAUUAAAAUCAAAAUUCUAAAACUUGA
Delphinapterus leucas (beluga whale) is the source of this 5581-nucleotide non-coding RNA. The record is from RefSeq and is a predicted model, not a curated record. NCBI's taxonomy places the organism in Eukaryota, Metazoa, Chordata, Mammalia, Artiodactyla, Monodontidae.